CAUUCCUACGGGGCGCAGCAGUGGGGGAUAUUGCACAAUGGAGGAAACUCUGAUGCAGCGACGCCGCGUGAGGGAAGACGGUCUUCGGAUUGUAAACCUCUGUCUUUGGGGAAGAAAAUGACGGUACCCAAAGAGGAAGCUCCGGCUAACUACGUGCCAGCAGCCGCGGUAAUACGUAUGGGGCAAGCGUUAUCCGGAUUUACUGGGUGUAAAGGGAGCGUAGGCGGCCUGGCAAGCCUGAUGUGAAAUACCGGGGCCCAACCCCGGGGCUGCAUUGGGAACUGCCAGGCUGGAGUGCCGGAGAG
RNAcentral lists this ribosomal RNA (305 nucleotides) under uncultured bacterium. Its description in RNAcentral is "bacterial SSU rRNA". It matches the Rfam family "Bacterial small subunit ribosomal RNA", at positions 334 to 656 of the family's 1533-position model. The record is from RNAcentral.